UACGGGCCUUGAGAGAGGUCGCCCGGAAGAUGGAUUUGAGACACGAGUCCAGGCCCUACGGGGCGCAGCAGGCGCGAAAACUUCGCAAUGCAGGAAACUGUUGACGAGGGAACUCCAAAGUGUCCAUGCAUUGCAUGGACUGUUUGCCAGCCUAAAAAGCUGGUAGAGUAAGGGGUGGGAAAGACCGGUGCCAGCCGCCGCGGUAACACCGGCACCUCAAGUGGUAGCCACUAUUAUUGGGCCUAAAGCGUUCGUAGCCGGCUUGGUUAAUUCCUGGGUAAAUCGUACCGCUCAACGGUGCGGAUUCCGGGGACACUGCCAGGCUUGAGACCGGGGGAGAUCAGAGGUACUUGCGGGGGAGCGGUGAAAUGUUGUAAUCCCGCAGGGACCACCAAUGGCGAAGGCA
Molecule: ribosomal RNA, 406 nt
Filed under: uncultured Pyrococcus sp.
Lineage: Archaea; Methanobacteriati; Methanobacteriota; Thermococci; Thermococcales; Thermococcaceae
Description: bacterial SSU rRNA
Rfam family: Archaeal small subunit ribosomal RNA
Source: RNAcentral